RNAcentral lists this ribosomal RNA (433 nucleotides) under uncultured bacterium. RNAcentral describes it as "partial 16S ribosomal RNA". It matches the Rfam family "Bacterial small subunit ribosomal RNA", at positions 29 to 507 of the family's 1533-position model. The record is from RNAcentral.
AACGAACGCUGGCGGCAGGCUUAACACAUGCAAGUCGAACGCACCUUUCGGGGUUAGUGGCAGACGGGUGAGUAACGCGUGGGAAUCUACCCUUCUCUACGGGAUAGCUCCGGGAAACUGGAAUUAAUACCGUAUACGUCCUGAGGGAGAAAGAUUUAUCGGGGAAGGAUGAGCCCGCGUUGGCUUAGCUAGUUGGUGGGGUAAAGGCCUACCAAGGCGACGAUCCAUAGCUGGUGUGAGAGGAUGAUCAGCCAGAUUGGGACUGAGACACGGCCCAAACUCCUACGGGAGGCAGCAGUGGAGAGUAUUGGACGAUGGGCGCAAGCCUGAUCCAGCCAUGCCGCGUAAGUGAUGAAGGCCCUAGGGUUGUAAAGCUCUUUCAGUGGGGACGAUAAUGACGGUACCCACAGAAGAAGCCCCGGCUAACUUCGUG